GGAAAGGCCGGGUGGAAAACUCGCCUCAGAUUGGCCUCCUGAAGGGCAAGGGAGCCCUCGAUUCUCCAACCUCCACCCCUCAGUGAUCGAGGGCUGCUCCCUGAGCCUUAACUCCCAGCUUUCUGUCCUGCCUGCGAGUAGAUCCAGCCGGCUCAUGUGGCCAGAGGACACCUGAGGCUCAUCAGACGAGCAACUUGGAAAGACCUCUGCAGACCAGAAGGAAGGGCAUCUCAUCAGAUAAACAUGUGCAACAAAUACUGUGGGCCACGGCUCUAAACUCAGUCCGAGUCCUCUGAUGUGCUUCGUGGACACGCCGAGAGGGACUGCCUUCAUGCAGCUGUGGAUGACGCAGCAAGAAGGCAGCCAGAGAGCCCUCACCAAACACCAGCUCUGCCCGCACCUUGAUCUUGGGCUUCCCAGUUUCCAGAACUGUGGGAAAUAAAUGUCUAUUGCUGAAGCCACCCAGCCCAUGGCAUUUUGUUA
RNAcentral lists this long non-coding RNA (483 nucleotides) under Equus caballus (horse). RNAcentral's name for it is "lncRNA (ENSECAG00000058453.1)". Lineage: Eukaryota; Metazoa; Chordata; Mammalia; Perissodactyla; Equidae. The record is from RNAcentral.